GCAGUCAAUCCCAACAUUGAGCUCUCCUCCCUCUACAAAACCUCCGACCACCCUGGCAAAGAUCUCGACGGCCUCAUCUAUACAGUGCCUCUUCCUCUUCCCAUUCAACCCUCUGUUCAGAUCCACUCUUCCUCUUUCCUAUUUUGGGAUCGAAGUAUAUUAAACAAAAAAGAAAAGGAAGACGCCGACUAUGAAAUUCUUACGAGAUCUAUAAUUGAUUUCAUCUCAGAGUCCAUAGACUCCGACUCGCCAACUCAGUGUGGUUCACCGUUCACUCCCUCACCGCCUCUCUCUUUUUCCGGCGACCUCUAUUCUCUCCGAAACCUCUCUCCGUCCGUGAAUGAUUGGCGUCCGAUUCAAGCAUUUUCUUCCUCAAUUGAGCAUCGUCGGAUCUUGUAUCUCACUUGCAGCGAUUCGUGUAUAGCUUGAUCUCCAUGGCGUCGAUUUCAAGUGGUUUCCGUGAGUACUUGAAACGUAGUCUCACAAGAGUUGCUAAGAUCACUGGGACUGAAGUUGAGUUGUUCUUUAAAGGAACCGCCAUUGAAGGUUAUGAUUUCCGGUGCACCGGCUUCUGGGAAAGGAACUCAGUGUGAAUUGAUUGUCAAGAAGGUAACCAUUUUCAUAGGGAUUGAAAUUGGAGACUAAGGAACUGAGUAGUUUACAUUUUCUUUGCUAGGAUUGAUAUAUGCAUCAUUUAGUUUGGAUUGGUGCACAUAUCAACAGGGGACCUUCUAAGAGCUGAAGUGUCAUCUGGGACUAAAAUUGGAAACAAAGCCAAAGGGUUCAUGAAUGCUGGCAAGUUGGUUCCUGAUGAAAUCGUCACAGCUGUAUGUAUUCUAUGCAUUCACAUGAGUUAGAAAUAUUGCAUUUUUCAUGACUCCGUUAUCUAAUUGGUAACAUAAUCACAUGCAGGGAUUGCUAACUAUGUUCAUAUAUGUUUGUGUUGUAACUCUUGAUCCUCAAACAUUGGAUUGUUUUAUCCCUUGGUAAAACAAUGGAGUUGUAACUUCUAAGUAUAAUAAGAGUCAAA
Long non-coding RNA from Rosa chinensis, 1030 nucleotides. RefSeq lists it as uncharacterized. The transcript has 4 exons. The record is from RefSeq and is a predicted model, not a curated record. Lineage: Eukaryota; Viridiplantae; Streptophyta; Magnoliopsida; Rosales; Rosaceae.